GACGAACGCUGGCGGCGUGCUUAACACAUGCAAGUCGAACGAAGAGCGAUGGAAGCUUGCUUCUAUCAAUCUUAGUGGCGAACGGGUGAGUAACGCGUAAUCAACCUGCCCUUCAGAGGGGGACAACAGUUGGAAACGACUGCUAAUACCGCAUACGAUCUAAUCUCGGCAUCGAGGAUAGAUGAAAGGUGGCCUCUACAUGUAAGCUAUCACUGAAGGAGGGGAUUGCGUCUGAUUAGCUAGUUGGAGGGGUAACGGCCCACCAAGGCGAUGAUCAGUAGCCGGUCUGAGAGGAUGAACGGCCACAUUGGGACUGAGACACGGCCCAGACUCCUACGGGAGGCAGCAGUGGGGAAUCUUCCGCAACGGACGAAAGUCUGACGGAGCAAACGCCCGCGUGAGUGAAUGACGGGCCCUUCCGGGGUUGUAAAAGCUCUGUUAAAUCGGG
This 448-nucleotide ribosomal RNA is filed under the name Veillonella parvula. RNAcentral's name for it is "bacterial SSU rRNA". It matches the Rfam family "Bacterial small subunit ribosomal RNA", at positions 28 to 445 of the family's 1533-position model. The record is from RNAcentral. Lineage: Bacteria; Bacillati; Bacillota; Negativicutes; Veillonellales; Veillonellaceae.